UGGAUCCAGACUUUGAUUAUGGCUCAGGAUGAACGCUAGCUACAGGCUUAACACAUGCAAGUCGAGGGGAAACGACAUCGAAAGCUUGCUUCUGAUGGGCGUCGACCGGCGCACGGGUGAGUAACGCGUAUCCAACCUGCCCACCACUUGGGGAUAACCUUGCGAAAGUAAGACUAAUACCCAAUGAUAUCUCUAGAAGACAUCUGAAAGAGAUUAAAGAUUUAUCGGUGAUGGAUGGGGAUGCGUCUGAUUAGCUUGUUGGCGGGGUAACGGCCCACCAAGGCGACGAUCAGUAGGGGUUCUGAGAGGAAGGUCCCCCACAUUGGAACUGAGACACGGUCCAAACUCCUACGGGAGGCAGCAGUGAGGAAUAUUGGUCAAUGGGCGAGAGCCUGAACCAGCCAAGUAGCGUGCAGGAUGACGGCCCUAUGGGUUGUAAACUGCUUUUAUAAGGGAAUAAAGUGAGUCUCGUGAGAUUUUUUGCAUGUACCUUAUGAAUAAGGACCGGCUAAUUCCGUGCCAGCAGCCGCGGUAAUACGGAAGGUCCGGGCGUUAUCUGGAUUUAUUGGGUUUAAAGGGAGCGUAGGCCGGAGAUUAAGCGUGUUGUGAAAUGUAGACGCUCAACGUCUGCACUGCAGCGCGAACUGGUUUCCUUGAGUACGCACAAAGUGGGCGGAAUUCGUGGUGUAGCGGUGAAAUGCUUAGAUAUCACGAGGAACUCCGAUUGCGAAGGCAGCUCACUGGAGCGCAACUGACGCUGAAGCUCGAAAGUGCGGGUAUCGAACAGGAUUAGAUACCCUGGUAGUCCGCACGGUAAACGAUGGAUGCCCGCUGUUGGUCUGAAUAGGUCAGCGGCCAAGCGAAAGCAUUAAGCAUCCCACCUGGGGAGUACGCCGGCAACGGUGCAACUCAAAGGAAUUGACGGA
This 926-nucleotide ribosomal RNA is filed under the name uncultured Bacteroidota bacterium. RNAcentral describes it as "bacterial SSU rRNA". It matches the Rfam family "Bacterial small subunit ribosomal RNA", at positions 1 to 917 of the family's 1533-position model. The record is from RNAcentral. Lineage: Bacteria; Pseudomonadati; Bacteroidota.